GGACCCAGCUCGGCGCUCGCCCGGGCUUCCCCCGGCUGGAGAGCGCGCCUGAGUGCCGCCGCCCGCCGGGCAUGGGGAGCCGCUUUCUGGGCGGCUGCGGCUGCAGAGGAGGAUGCUCUCGACGAGCCGAGCGCUCGGAAGAACUGAAUGAAAUGUGCAGCUGUCGGUGUCAUUUCUGAAGGGAGGACUCGUUUUCUUGGAGAAGAGGCCUCAAUGAGCCUGGCCGAGGCCCGGGAUCUGUGUGAAGUGGACUAAGGAUUUAGUAGGAUGUCAACUGAGACAGAACUUCAAGUAGCUGUGAAAACCAGCGCCAAGAAAGACUCCAGAAAGAAAGGUAGGGCUCAAGCUGUUCCUAUCCUAAUAUCUACUCUUGUGUAGGAAUGAGGUUUUUUGGUCCUGGAAUGGCAUUUGGGGGACUAUCUUUGUGAUUGCUUAUGUUUGUUUGUUUUAAUAGCACCAUUAUUGGGUGUUUUUUGUAUGCACAGUAUCGUAUUUUAAAGGUCCUUCCUAAUUCUCUUGGUAAAAUCCAAAGUUCUUUUCAGCAUAUACAAAGCCCUUCUUGACAUGUCUUCUACUCAUCCCCCCCCCCCAAGCAACAUCUGUGUCUGCAUUCACGCCCCAUCUCCAUCUAACCCUGUUCACCCGCCGGGCAUUCUGUGCUUUGUAGUUCCUCUUUGCAUAUACCAGUGAUUCUCAAACUCCAGCUGCACCAGCAUCACCUGGAAGGCUUGUUAAAACAGAGAUUGCUGAGUCUCAUUCCCAGAAAUUUGGGUUCCCUGGGUCUGUGGUGGGGCCCAAGUUUCAUCUACAACAAAUUCCCAGAUGAUGCUGAUGCUGGUGGUUCAGAGUCCAGACUUUGAGAACCACUGGACUCUCAAUCCGUCUGUGGCUCUCUGCUAUUUCCUAGACUGACUUCUGCCUAUUCUUUAGUUUUGAGCGUAGUAGGACUUCCUGGAGGGCCAGGCCUUUCCUUAACCCCAAAUGGGAUUAGUUUCUCUUUGUUUGUUUUGUUUCGUUAGCACUUUGUUGGUAGCUAACUUUAUUAAUAAUGUCUUUGUGUUUGUUAGCCAUACUAUAUAGUCCUUGAGAGCUGGAUCUCUUGUUGACCCUUUUAACUCCCAUCAAUUAGAAAGUGCUUGACACAUGGGAGUUCCUCUAGUGGCUCAGUGGGUU
This 1173-nucleotide long non-coding RNA is filed under the name Sus scrofa (pig). RNAcentral's name for it is "lncRNA (ENSSSCG00040059418.1)". Lineage: Eukaryota; Metazoa; Chordata; Mammalia; Artiodactyla; Suidae. The record is from RNAcentral.